UGGGGAAUCUUGCGCAAUGGGCGAAAGCCUGACGCAGCCAUGCCGCGUGAAUGAUGAAGGUCUUAGGAUUGUAAAAUUCUUUCAGCAGGGACGAUAAUGACGGUACCUGCAGAAGAAGCCCCGGCUAACUUCGUGCCAGCAGCCGCGGUAAUACGAAGGGGGCUAGCGUUGCUCGGAAUUACUGGGCGUAAAGGGCGCGUAGGCGGGUCGUUUAGUUAGAGGUGAAAGCCCAGGGCUCAACCCUGGAAUUGCCUUUAAUACUGGCGGCCUUGAGUAUGGCAGAGGUGUGUGGAACUCCGAGUGUAGAGGUGAAAUUCGUAGAUAUUCGGAAGAACACCAGUGGCGAAGGCGACACACUGGGCCAUUACUGACGCUGAGGCGCGAAAGCGUGGGGAGCAAACAG
Molecule: ribosomal RNA, 403 nt
Filed under: uncultured bacterium
Lineage: Bacteria
Description: bacterial SSU rRNA
Rfam family: Bacterial small subunit ribosomal RNA
Source: RNAcentral